UACAGAGGAGCCAAGCGUUGUCCGGAUUGACUGGGCGUAAAGCGCACGCAGGCGGAUGCGCGCGUGGGGUGUGAAAUCUGGCCGCUUAACGGCCAGGCGCCAUCCCAUACGGCGCGUCUGGAGUGAUGCAGAGGUCGGUGGAAUUGCCGGUGUAGUGGUGAAAUGCGUAGAGAUCGGCAGGAACACCGGUGGCGAAGGCGACUACCUGGACAGAAACUGACGCUGAGUGCACGAAAGCUAGGGGAGCAAACAGG
Molecule: ribosomal RNA, 254 nt
Filed under: uncultured bacterium
Lineage: Bacteria
Description: partial 16S ribosomal RNA
Rfam family: Bacterial small subunit ribosomal RNA
Source: RNAcentral